RNAcentral lists this ribosomal RNA (338 nucleotides) under uncultured bacterium. RNAcentral describes it as "bacterial SSU rRNA". It matches the Rfam family "Bacterial small subunit ribosomal RNA", at positions 28 to 361 of the family's 1533-position model. The record is from RNAcentral.
GAUGAACGCUAGCGGCAGGCUUAAUACAUGCAAGUCGAGGGGCAGCGGGGGUAGCAAUACCUGCCGGCGACCGGCAAACGGGUGCGGAACACGUACACAACCUUCCCAUAAGUGGGGGAUAGCCCAGAGAAAUUUGGAUUAAUACCCCGUAAUAUUAUUUAGUGGCAUCAUUAGAUAAUUAAAGCUCCGGCGCUUAUUGAUGGGUGUGCGUCUGAUUAGGUAGUUGGUGAGGGUAACGGCCCACCAAGCCUUCGAUCAGUAACUGGUGUGAGAGCACGACCAGUCACACGGGCACUGGAGACACGAGCCCGACUCCUACGGGAGGCAGCAGUAAGGAA